Molecule: ribosomal RNA, 497 nt
Filed under: uncultured bacterium
Lineage: Bacteria
Description: partial 16S ribosomal RNA
Rfam family: Bacterial small subunit ribosomal RNA
Source: RNAcentral
GAUGAACGCUGGCGGCGUGCCUAAUACAUGCAAGUCGAGCGAACAGACGAGAAGCUUGCUCUUCUGACGUUAGCGGCGGACGGGUGAGUAACACGUGGAUAACCUACCUAUAAGACUGGGAUAACUUCGGGAAACCGGAGCUAAUACCGGAUAAUAUAUUGAACCGCAUGGUUCAAUAGUGAAAGACGGUUUUGCUGUCACUUAUAGAUGGAUCCGCGCUGCAUUAGCUAGUUGGUAAGGUAACGGCUUACCAAGGCGACGAUGCGUAGCCGACCUGAGAGGGUGAUCGGCCACACUGGAACUGAGACACGGUCCAGACUCCUACGGGAGGCAGCAGUAGGGAAUCUUCCGCAAUGGGCGAAAGCCUGACGGAGCAACGCCGCGUGAGUGAUGAAGGUCUUCGGAUCGUAAAACUCUGUUAUUAGGGAAGAACAAAUGUGUAAGUAACUAUGCACGUCUUGACGGUACCUAAUCAGAAAGCCACGGCUAACUACGUG